Molecule: ribosomal RNA, 183 nt
Filed under: Listeria monocytogenes
Lineage: Bacteria; Bacillati; Bacillota; Bacilli; Caryophanales; Listeriaceae
Description: partial 16S ribosomal RNA
Rfam family: Bacterial small subunit ribosomal RNA
Source: RNAcentral
UUUAAAGAGAGUUUGAUCCUGGCUCAGGACGAACGCUGGCGGCGUGCCUAAUACAUGCAAGUCGAACGAACGGACGAAGAGCUUGCUCUUCCAAAGUUAGUGGCGGACGGGUGAGUAACACGUGGGCAACCUGCCUGUAAGUUGGGGAUAACUCCGGGAAACCGGGGCUAAUACCGAAUGAUA